CCUACGGGAGGCAGCAGUGGGGAAUAUUGUACAAUGGACGCAAGUCUGAUACAGCAAUGCCGCGUGAGUGAAGAAGGCCUUAGGGUCGUAAAGCUCUUUCGCCAGGGAUGAUAAUGACAGUACCUGGUAAAGAAACCCCGGCUAACUCCGUGCCAGCAGCCGCGGUAA
Molecule: ribosomal RNA, 168 nt
Filed under: uncultured bacterium
Lineage: Bacteria
Description: partial 16S ribosomal RNA
Rfam family: Bacterial small subunit ribosomal RNA
Source: RNAcentral